AUGUGCAGCAAACUUUGGAUGGCCUUUGCAUCAGUUAGAUGUGAAAAAUGCUUUCUUGCAUGGAGAACUAAAAGAAGAAGUCUAUAUGGAAGUCCCCCUGGAUUGGACUCAUCUAAAACUGAAGGCAAGGUGUGUAGAUUGAAAAAGUCUUUGUAUGGUCUGAAACAAUCACCGAGAGCUUGGUUCGAUAGAUUCCGAAGGGCUAUGUGUGAGAUGGGAUACAAACAAUGCAAUAAGGAUCACACUGUCUUCUACCGACAUCAGAAUAGGAAGAUUGUCAUCCUUGCAGUCUAUGUAGAUGAUAUAAUCAUAACUGGAGAUGAUGGGACGGAGAUAGCAAGGUUAAAGGAGUGUCUUGGAAAGGCAUUUGAAGUGAAGGAUCUUGGUCAGAUGAAGUAUUUUCUGGGUAUUGAGAUUGCAAGAUCUGCCAAAGGGAUAGCCUUGUCCCAGCGCAAGUACACCUUGGAUCUCCUCAGUGAUAUGGGAAUGUUAGAGUGUCGAGCUGCUACUACCCCAAUUGACCAAAACCAUAAGGUAACAGCACAAUCUGGAGAUCUAGUGGAUAAGGAGAAAUACCAAAGACUGGUAGGGCGUUUACUAUACUUGUGUCACAUAAGACCAGACAUUGCCUAUGCUGUGAGCAUAGUGAGUAGGUAUAUGCAUGAGCCCAGAAGUGGACAUGUGGAGGCAGCACACAGAAUUCUGAAGUAUUUGAAGGGAACACCAGGAAGAGGACUGUGGUUCGAAGGGAAUGGCCACUUGGUAGUUGAUGGGUAUAGUGAUGCAGACUGGGCAAGUUGCCUGGAUGAUCGUCGAUCAACAUCUGGGUAUUGUGUGUUUGUGGGAGGUAACUUAGUUUCAUGGAGAAGCAAGAAGCAGCCAGUUGUAUCAAAAUCAACAGCAGAAGCAGAAUAUAGAGCCAUGUCUCAGGGGUUAAGUGAGAUGUUGUGGGUGAGAAACCUUCUAAGUGAAUUGAAAUUGCUAAGAGAAGGACCUCUGAAUGUCUGGUGUGACAACAGGUCUGCUAUAUGCAUAGCUAACAACCCAGUGCAACAUGACAGAACUAAGCAUGUAGAGAUUGAUCGAUUCUUCAUCAAAGAGAAGCGUGAUGCUGGGAUUAUAAAGAUUGAGUAUGUGCACACAGGCCAACAGAUAGCAGACUGCUUGACAAAAGGUUUGGCAGGAAAGGAAUGCAACCUAGCUUGCGACAAGAUGGGAAUGAUAGAUAUCUACCACCCAUCUUGA
Molecule: ribosomal RNA, 1245 nt
Filed under: Triticum aestivum (bread wheat)
Lineage: Eukaryota; Viridiplantae; Streptophyta; Magnoliopsida; Poales; Poaceae
Description: partial small subunit ribosomal RNA
Source: RNAcentral